Molecule: long non-coding RNA, 806 nt
Organism: Oncorhynchus keta (chum salmon)
Lineage: Eukaryota; Metazoa; Chordata; Actinopteri; Salmoniformes; Salmonidae
Exons: 8
Source: RefSeq, a predicted model, not a curated record
UUGGAGCUGCUGUGGAUGGACAGGGUGACUCAGUAGUACCUGAAGGUAUUGGAGCUGCCGUGGAUGGACAGGGUGACUCAGUAGUACCUGAAGGUAUUGGAGCUGCCGUGGAUGGACAGGGUGACUCAGUAGUACCUGAAGGUAUUGGAGCUGCCGUGGAUGGACAGGGUGACUCAGUAGUACCUGAAGGUAUUGGAGCUGCUGUGGAUGGACAGGGUGACUCAGUAGUACCUGAAGGUAUUGGAGCUGCCGUGGAUGGACAGGGUGACUCAGUAGUACCUGAAGGUAUUGGAGCUGCCGUGGAUGGACAGGGUGACUCAGUAGUACCUGAAGGUAUUGGAGCUGCUGUGGAUGGACAGGGUGACUCAGUAGUACCUGAAGGUAUUGGAGCUGCUGUGGCUGGACAGGGUGACUCAGUAGUACCUGAAGGUAUUGGAGCUGCUGUGGCUGGACAGGGUGACUCAGUAGUACCUGAAGGUAUUGGAGCUGCUGUGGCUGGACAGGGUGACUCAGUAGUACCUGAAGGUAUUGGAGCUGCUGUGGAUGGACAGGGUGACUCAGUAGUACCUGAAGGUAUUGGAGCUGCUGUGGAUGGACAGGGUGACUCAGUAGUACCUGAAGGUAUUGGAGCUGCCGUGGAUGGACAGGGUGACUCAGUAGUACCUGAAGGUAUUGGAGCUGCCGUGGAUGGACAGGGUGACUCAGUAGUACCUGAAGGUAUUGGAGCUGCCGUGGAUGGACAGGGUGACUCAGUAGUACCUGAAGGUAUUGGAGCUGCUGUGGAUGGACAGGGUGACUCAGUAGUA